This 389-nucleotide ribosomal RNA is filed under the name uncultured chicken cecal bacterium. RNAcentral's name for it is "bacterial SSU rRNA". It matches the Rfam family "Bacterial small subunit ribosomal RNA", at positions 100 to 509 of the family's 1533-position model. The record is from RNAcentral.
GGGUAGAGUAACACGUAGAUAAUUUGUCUUUAUGGGGAGUAGGCCGAUGAAAUUUGGAUUAAUACCGCAUACAGCUAUUAACCGCAGUGGGGAGAUAGUGAAAGGGGAGACUUGAUAUAGGAGGAGUCUGCGGCACAUUAGCUAGUAGGUGAGGUAAGAGCUCACCUAGGCGACGAUGUGUAGCCGGUCUGAGAGGAUGAACGGCCACAAUGGAACUGAGACACGGUCCAUACUCCUACGGGAGGCAGCAGUGGGGAAUAUUGCACAAUGGGGGAAACCCUGAUGCAGCAACGCCGCGUGAGUGAAGAAGGUUUUCGGAUUGUAAAGCUCUGUUAGCAGGGAAGAGGAAGGACGGUACCUGCAGAGGAAGCCACGGCUAACUACGUGCC